UUUUUUUUGGUCCCUGAUCUCCUAUGCAUUAAUCAUUGGAUCAUGAAUUAUUUACUCUCAAAAAAAACAGAAGAAAAUAAUGUAUUGCUUUUUCAAAAAUGUCACUCAAGCCAGACCCAAAUGGGAUUUUUUUUUUCUAUAAAAAGCUGGGUAAAGGUAGGAGGAUGGAAAUUUGCUUUCUUUCAUUAAAAUCAGUAACAUUUCUCCAGUGUAGAUGGAAUGUGAAAUAAAAACAUAUAUAAAAUUUCUAUCAGAUAUAUAUUUUCUUAAAAAUCUGGGAACAUAUGGUGUGGCUAUUAAUAUGGCCUAUAAUAACACAAGUUGCUCUGCCUUGAGGGCCAUACUAAGCAAUGAAAGAAAAAAUAGAAGCUAAAAAAAGAAACCCUGACUUGAGGCUUUCAGGAAAAAAGAAAUAAAAUUAUUUCACUUACACCAUAAAAAGGAAUACUUUCAAUAUGUAUUAAAUUUCUGUACAUUUCUAGUGUUGUUUUUGUUUUGCCACGCUUGCCUCUAAUUGCAUCUCUGUUCCUUUUCAAUGUAAUAAGCACUUGAUGUUUGUUAUGAUGAGCAGGAAAAACAGGGUUAUAUCAAUAGUGGGAUGGAAGAGAGGACUUGGUGAAUUUAAAAUCUUGGCUCGGUAAUUUCCUGGAUCUUGUGUGAUAGCUUAAUAAUAGAAAUGCCAAUGUAAACUUUAAAAAUAUAACUUACUUUCAAGUCAACGGCAAGAAUCAACUGUUGCAGCGUUUGAACAGAAGUGAAAAGACAAUGCAAUGGAAAAGAAAUGAAAUUCAAAUUUUUUUCAAAGAAAAGAUGUGCACCAUCCCCAGAACUGAGUCCUGAAAGAAAAAGUAGGAUUAGCCUCAAACAAAUGGAAGAUAGAGAAGGAAGGUACUUCUGGGCAAAAGCGGUACAGAAGUAAUAUUAUAUAAAUUGACAUGACUAAUGAGACAUUGGGGAGCCCUAAAGAUGAAGAAAUGAAAAGUAAUCUGGGGAAGUAUAGUGUAAGAUGAAGACCAGAGGGGAAUCCUGAAAUGCCUUAUGUACUAAGCUAAAAUGUUUAAGCAUUAUCCUGAACACAUGCAUGCAUACCCAUUAAAAAAGUAAGUUAGCCAGUGUGUGAUUAGAUAGAAGUGAUCUUCUGUUUUGGAAGGCAAUUUGAUAAAUUAACAAAACCUUUUAAAAUGUAUACAUUAUUUGUAAAAUCAAAGUUUUCUGAGAAAAUGUGAACUAAAUAAUCACAAGCCUUUUUCUCAUUCUCCCUUAGAAGAGGAGUACAUACAAUGUCUCCCAUAAAAGGAAACAGUCUUCUUGACUGAAAUAUUUUUGUUUAUUCAGAUGCUAACAAUCAAAGGAAAAUCUUUUUUCCAACUAGUCAGGCUGAAACAAAAGUCCCAAAGUUUGUCUUUUUAUGUUUUUUGUUAUUCUAUAUAAAGAAGUAAAACACUUUGUCAAGCUGUUUUUCCUACUAUCU
Molecule: long non-coding RNA, 1471 nt
Filed under: Marmota monax (woodchuck)
Lineage: Eukaryota; Metazoa; Chordata; Mammalia; Rodentia; Sciuridae
Source: RNAcentral